Molecule: non-coding RNA, 120 nt
Filed under: uncultured Mallomonas
Lineage: Eukaryota; Synurophyceae; Synurales; Mallomonadaceae
Source: RNAcentral
GAGACUAUGAUGAUGCUAGAACAACUGAAAGCUAGGUAUAAAGAAACAAUCGAGACGCUAGUCACACAGCUUCAAGGCUCCACAGAACGCUGUCACAACCUCUCAGAUCAACUUGCUCUC